Molecule: long non-coding RNA, 1128 nt
Organism: Ictalurus punctatus (channel catfish)
Lineage: Eukaryota; Metazoa; Chordata; Actinopteri; Siluriformes; Ictaluridae
Source: Ensembl
CUGAGGCUGAAUAAGAACCAUUGGUGCUAUCACUUCGACUUGGCAGUCUGAUGUCUUCUUGGCAUCCAUAUCUGCAACGUUAUUAUCUUUGAUAACAAAAUCAAUGGCUAUUUGUGUGCCUGACAUUUAGUAAUUGCUAGCCGCCUAGGAUGCAUCAUGGCAGAAAUCAAUUAAACUAUAUGUUCAAUGUUAAAGUGGUGUUCCAACACUUUUCCUAAAACCUCUUUGCUUUCAGACAGGUGGCACACUCCAUGGGCAUAAGCAGAGUCUAUAUAUGAGCAAUUCUACACUUAACCAGUUGGCACUCUGUAGUGAGAGCUUUUAAUCUAGCCAAUUGAGCAGACCAGAGGUGUUCAUAAUGUUUGUGAAAUUUCAAACACAAAAUCUUUCAGAUGGAACGUAGAGUCGAGGAAAUGUGAAUUUCGGGGCUAGACAAUUGUGAGUGUUCUCAGUGACUUGCUCAACAGAAUUAAUUAGGCAAUGCAACACUACAGUUGGUGUAUUAGACACGCUAGUGGAUUUGAUAGUUAAAUUUUGAGUUGCACAAAGAAUAACCUCAUAUCCUGGUCUUUGUUGUGCUGACAGGUGUUGCAUGCGGAUGUAAUUCAAAAUGGCAGUGACUUGUUGUGAGGAGUGUAAGAUCAAUGUUUGAGAGAGAACAAAUUUCCCAGUGGUCUGCUGUAAGAGAGCAGCUGCAGCCAUGGCACGCAAAUAUGCUGGCAAUCCCUGUGCCACCAAAUCCAGUGUUUUCAAUAAAUAAGCUAAAGGCCUGCAAGCGCCCGCAUGCUCCUGAGCCAGGACCACUUCUGCGGCUCCCCCUCCCUCAGUCACAUAAAGUAUAAAGUAUAAAGCAUAAAGUAGCUUUCCAUAUCAGAAGUACAUUCAACCUCAGGUUUUUCUUUAGAACACCCAGCUCUCAGGAUUUUGUCAUGAAAAGAGCAAUCAGUGAUCCACUGACAGCAGUAGGCGGAGGAUGACUACAAUCAUGUCCUGUCGGCCUUGGGAGCGGGAGAAAGGUGAGGGAGUCUCUGACCACAGAAGAGUCCGCAACCUCUGAGGGAGAUGCACCCAGGUGUAUUGUUGAUUUUGGGAUGUUAAGGCACACUGGAAAAAAAAGCUGAACACAGG